This 1980-nucleotide long non-coding RNA is filed under the name Theobroma cacao (cacao). Its description in RNAcentral is "long non-coding RNA (TCAC_LNC003726)". The record is from RNAcentral. Lineage: Eukaryota; Viridiplantae; Streptophyta; Magnoliopsida; Malvales; Malvaceae.
AGUGACACACACAGCCAGGUAUACAAAAUAUUCUACAAUGACAUGUGGGCCCCCAAAAUAACCAAAAUAAACACGACUGUAAACUUGCGAUUUCGAAGGGUGCGAAUCCAACAGCAAACCCUCGACAAAAUCGACGGUCUAUAGACUGCCUUGAGCCUGAAAUGUGUGAAAGAAGGGUGGUGAGUUUUUAUAAACCCAGUGAGUAAGCAAAGUUCAUCUAUAACAUCUAAAGCCAAGUAAAUGGAGACAAUUAAAACAUCUCUUCAUAAUAUGAUUCAUAACAUUAAAACUCAUUUCAACCUUAUAAAAUAAUUUACAUUUCAUCAAAAAUAAUCAGCAAGGCUUAUGACUUUCUUAAAACUUGGCUCGUGCCAAACUUAUACUCGGUGACACAUUGGCUUGGGGCAUCCAACCGAGUCCGCCAAGGAUGUUAAAACGACAUAUACCUAUAAAACACGUUUUUACUUUUAAAAACAUAGCCGUUCCUUGACGUUGGCUGAGUUUCACUCUCACGUGGUGGUUCGGCAUGAAGUGAACUCUAAUGUUACCUUAGGAGAUACCCUUCGCGCCUCUCGUACCAAGGUAAAAUAUAACGGAGUUUACCGUGCCCCUCUCGUAGGCUAAUCCACGGAAACUCGCCCACCGCAGUAAGCUAAUCAAUUACCCCACUAAAUCAAUAAAAAUCUCGGCAGCAUGACAUGGCUAAUAUGAUAUUACCUAGCCUAUCAAGGCCAAACAAAACAGUUCAUAUUUCACACAAACACAAAUCCAGCCAUUCAUGGCAUCACAGUGUCAUAAGCCAUCAAUUCAAACCAUCUAUCAAACAUAAGUAUAUAGUCUCCACUUACUCAAUUUCCAAAACCAGUAUUCAAUUGCAAACCAAAUUAUGAAUCUCAUUUCAUUUAACCAACACUUUCCACUUUUAAAACAUAAUAAUUUACCAUUUAAAACUCAUCAUUCUUUAAAAUCAUAAAAACGAGUAUAAACUACUUUAGAUAGUUAAGAUGAUCGUCUGAUUACUCACUUUAAUGGGAGUUUGGAGUACUUCUAUUAUUGAUCCUCGGAUACGAUAUCUUUACCCUUAUCAGAAGGCUCACCACCUAUACAUAAUAUACGACAUGUAAUUCAAUAUAUUUGUACCAAACUGUUAUAAAACUAUUUCAGGCUCUAUAUGAAUGCAUGAAAUUGAAUGAGAAAUGUUCGGAUAGUCACUUAAAGACGGUGUUCGAAGUAGGUUCAAUUGUGAUCGGAAUGAAUUUGUAUUCGACCUAAUUCGAACUAUACACCAUUGAUUUAACCAAAACAUUCGAUUCAACUUCAAAUAUAUUCAUUACACUUCCAAUAUUCCAUAUACACCAAAGUACCUCAGUAAGCUUAAUUGUAACUUAAUUCAUUGUAACCGAAAUCAUUCCGAUUUCGGACUAACUUGCUAAUUAGUGUCAACACAGUCCAAUAAAUCCAUUUAUAUCAUUAAGAAUAAAUUCCAAGUCCAUUUACUAUGAUUUUCUCAUUAUUGUUCAAAUCGUUUACUAAAAGAACCAUACGUCUCCAUAACCAUUUUCAAUAUCUGGCACCAUAAUUCAUCAAAUACGAGCUAAAUCACAUGAGAUAUAACAAGAUCCAUCAUCAAUAUGUCCUUUAGUAAAUUUGGCCAAGGAGGAUUGUUGAAGAGUAUGUGAUUUUUUUGCUUGCUUUUCAUGCCAAACAUCAUCAAACAACUAAAAACACUAAAAUAUCAUGAAAUCUAGCCAAAUUCAUCACCAAAACUUCUCUUUCUAGAUUUGGCCAGCAAAGGUUCCCUCUUGAAAACUUGAAUUUCAGCCAUGAAAAAUGACAAAGAAUGCAUGGGAAAGGUAGAUCACAAGCUAAAAUUAAAAAAUCUUACCUUUACUUGUUUAAUUCCUUGAAAUCCAAUAAUUUCUCUUGAAUUUUUCCUUUCUAGGGUGUGUUCUUCUCUUUUUCUCUUUGUUCCCUUGCUUG